GACGAACGCUGGCGGCGCGCCUAACACAUGCAAGUCGAACGGAGCUGAGAGAAGCUUGCUUUUCUUAGCUUAGUGGCGAACGGGUGAGUAACGCGUGAGUAACCUGCCCUGGAGUGGGGGACAACAGUUGGAAACGACUGCUAAUACCGCAUAAGCCCACGAUCCGGCAUCGGAUUGAGGGAAAAGGAUUUAUUCGCUUCAGGAUGGACUCGCGUCCAAUUAGCUAGUUGGUGAGGUAACGGCCCACCAAGGCGACGAUUGGUAGCCGGACUGAGAGGUUGAACGGCCACAUUGGGACUGAGACACGGCCCAGACUCCUACGGGAGGCAGCAGUGGGGGAUAUUGCACAAUGGGGGAAACCCUGAUGCAGCGACGCCGCGUGGAGGAAGAAGGUUUUCGGAUUGUAAACUCCUGUCAUUAGGGACGAUAAUGACGGUACCUAACAAGAAAGCACCGGCUAACUACGUG
RNAcentral lists this ribosomal RNA (468 nucleotides) under uncultured bacterium. Its description in RNAcentral is "partial 16S ribosomal RNA". It matches the Rfam family "Bacterial small subunit ribosomal RNA", at positions 28 to 507 of the family's 1533-position model. The record is from RNAcentral.